This 21-nucleotide non-coding RNA is filed under the name Caenorhabditis elegans. Lineage: Eukaryota; Metazoa; Nematoda; Chromadorea; Rhabditida; Rhabditidae. The record is from RNAcentral.
UAAAAACUUAUUAUUUAGUAA